This 252-nucleotide ribosomal RNA is filed under the name uncultured bacterium. RNAcentral describes it as "partial 16S ribosomal RNA". It matches the Rfam family "Bacterial small subunit ribosomal RNA", at positions 524 to 776 of the family's 1533-position model. The record is from RNAcentral.
UACGUAGGGGGCGAGCGUUAUCCGGAAUUAUUGGGCGUAAAGAGUGCGUAGGUGGCCAUGUAAGCGCGGGGUGAAAGGCAAUAGCUUAACUAUUGUAAGCCUUGCGAACUGUAUGGCUUGAGUGCAGGAGAGGAAAGUGGAAUUCCUAGUGUAGCGGUGAAAUGCGUAGAUAUUAGGAGGAACACCAGUGGCGAAGGCGACUUUCUGGACUGUAACUGACACUGAGGCACGAAAGCGUGGGGAGCAAACAGG